This 914-nucleotide ribosomal RNA is filed under the name uncultured crenarchaeote. RNAcentral describes it as "bacterial SSU rRNA". It matches the Rfam family "Archaeal small subunit ribosomal RNA", at positions 1 to 922 of the family's 1478-position model. Lineage: Archaea; Thermoproteati; Thermoproteota. The record is from RNAcentral.
UUCCGGUUGAUCCUGCCGGACCUGACUGCUAUCGGAUUGAUACUAAGCCAUGCGAGUCAUUGUAGCAAUACAAGGCAUACGGCUCAGUAACGCGUAGUCAACCUAACCUAUGGACGGGAAUAACCUCGGGAAACUGAGAAUAAUGCCCGAUAGAACACUAUACCUGGAAUGGUUUGUGUUCCAAAUGAUUUAUCGCCAUAGGAUGGGACUGCGGCCUAUCAGUUUGUUGGUGAGGUAAUGGCCCACCAAGACUAUUACAGGUACGGGCUCUGAGAGGAGUAGCCCGGAGAUGGGUACUGAGACACGGACCCAGGCCCUAUGGGGCGCAGCAGGCGAGAAAACUUUGCAAUGUGCGAAAGCACGACAAGGUUAAUCCGAGUGAUUUGUGCUAAACGAAUCUUUUGUUAGUCCUAGAAACACUAACGAAUAAGGGGUGGGCAAGUUCUGGUGUCAGCCGCCGCGGUAAAACCAGCACCUCAAGUGGUCAGGAUGAUUAUUGGGCCUAAAGCAUCCGUAGCCGGCUCUGUAAGUUUUCGGUUAAAUCUGUACGCUUAACGUACAGGCUGCCGGGAAUACUGCAGAGCUAGGGAGUGGGAGAGGUAGACGGUACUCGGUAGGAAGUGGUAAAAUGCUUUGAUCUAUCGAUGACCACCUGUGACGAAGGCGGUCUACCAGAACACGUCCGACGGUGAGGGAUGAAAGCUGGGGGAGCAAACCGGAUUAGAUACCCGGGUAGUCCCAGCUGUAAACUAUGCAAACUCAGUGAUGCAUUGGCUUGUGGCCAAUGCAGUGCUGCAGGGAAGCCGUUAAGUUUGCCGCCUGGGAAGUACGUACGCAAGUAUGAAACUUAAAGGAAUUGGCGGGGGAGCACCACAAGGGGUGAAGCCUGCGGUUCAAUUGGAUUCAACGCCGGG